GACAGAGGGGGCAAGCGUUGUCCGGAUUUACUGGGCGUACAGCGCGCGCAGGCGGCUGGGGACGUGCCGGGUGACAGCCCGCGGCUCAACCGCGGAGGGACCUGGUAGACGCUCCGGCUGGAGGCAGGGAGAGGGCAGUGGAAUACCCGGUGGAGCGGUGAAAUGCGUAGAGAUCGGGUGGAACACCAGGGGCGAAGGCGGCUGCCUGGCCCUGGCCUGACGCUGAGGCGCGAGAGCGUGGGGAGCAAACCGGAUUAGAAACCCCAGUAGUCC
This 273-nucleotide ribosomal RNA is filed under the name uncultured bacterium. RNAcentral describes it as "partial 16S ribosomal RNA". It matches the Rfam family "Bacterial small subunit ribosomal RNA", at positions 524 to 796 of the family's 1533-position model. The record is from RNAcentral.